UUUGGUCAAGCUAUUAAGAGCACAUGGUGGAUGCCUAGGCGUCUAGAGGCGAUGAAGGACGUGUCCAGCUGCGAUAAGCUUCGGGGAGCUGCCAAGAGAGCUUUGAUCCGAAGAUUUCCGAAUGAGGAAACUCUCAUCGGGUCAUACCGAUGAAUCCCGAGAUUGAAUACAUAGAUUUCGGGAAGUAAACUCCGGGAACUGAAACAUCUCAUGUACCGGAAGGAAAAGAAAUCAACGAGAUUCCCCGAGUAGUGGCGAGCGAAAGGGGAAGAGCCUAAACUUGCUCCACUUCGGUGGGGUGAGGGUUGCGGGACCUCAAUAUGGGACCAACAAGAGUAGAUGAACGGCAUGGGAAGGCCGGCCACAGAGCGUGAUAGCCGCGUAAUCAACAUUUGAGUUGGCCCUAGAGGUAUCCCAAGUACCACGGGACACGAGAAAUCCUGUGGGAAUCUGGGGAGACCAUUCUCCAAGGCUAAAUACUCCUAGACGACCGAUAGUGAACUAGUACCGUGAGGGAAAGGUGGGAAGAACCCCGAAAGGGGAGGUCAGUGAACCUGAAACCAUGUGCUUACAAGCAGUCAGAGCACUAUGCCCCGCCGCAAGGCGGGAUAGGUGUGAUGGCGUGCCUUUUGCAUAAUGAGCCAGUGAGUUACUGUCGCAUGCAAGGUUAAUCCCUUAAGGGGAGAAGCCGUAGCGAAAGCGAGUCCGAAAUGGGCGAAUUAGUAUGCGGUAGUAGACCCGAAACCAGUUGCGAUCUAUCCAUGGCCAGGGUGAAGUCUUGGUAACACAAGAUGGAGGCCCGAACUGGUGGACGUUGAAAAGUCCUCGGAUGAGUUGUGGAUAGGAGUGAAAGGCUAAUCAAGCCUGGAGAUAGCUGGUUCUCCUCGAAAUAUAUUGAGGUAUAGCCUCAUGUUAAUACUGUCGGAGGUAGAGCACUGGAUGGACUAGAGGUCUUACCGGACUAUCAAACCCAACCAAACUCCGAAUGCCGACAAGUUCUGCAUGGGAGGCAGACCGUAGGGGAUAAGCUCUAUGGUCGAGAGGGAAAAAGCCCAGACCGUCAGCUAAGGUCCCAAAAUCAUACUUAAGUGGUUAAGGAUGUGGAAGCGCACAGACAACCAGGAGGUUGGCUUAGAAGCAGCCAUCCUUUAAAGAAAGCGUAACAGCUCACUGGUCAAGUGAGUCUGCGCCGAAAAUGUAA
This 1201-nucleotide ribosomal RNA is filed under the name Deltaproteobacteria bacterium RIFCSPHIGHO2_02_FULL_44_53. RNAcentral describes it as "bacterial LSU rRNA". It matches the Rfam family "Bacterial large subunit ribosomal RNA", at positions 1 to 1175 of the family's 2925-position model. The record is from RNAcentral. Lineage: Bacteria; Deltaproteobacteria.